AUUGAACGCUGGCGGCAUGCUUUACACAUGCAAGUCGAACGGCAGCGCGGGCUUCGGCCUGGCGGCGAGUGGCGAACGGGUGAGUAAUGCAUCGGAACGUGCCCAGUGGUGGGGGAUAGCCCGGCGAAAGCCGGAUUAAUACCGCAUACGACCUGAGGGUGAAAGCGGGGGACCGAAAGGCCUCGCGCUAUUGGAGCGGCCGAUGUCGGAUUAGCUAGUUGGUGGGGUAAAGGCUUACCAAGGCGACGAUCCGUAGCUGGUCUGAGAGGACGACCAGCCACACUGGGACUGAGACACGGCCCAGACUCCUACGGGAGGCAGCAGUGGGGAAUUUUGGACAAUGGGGGCAACCCUGAUCCAGCCAUGCCGCGUGCGGGAAGAGGGCCUUCGGGUUGUAAACCGCUUUUGUUCGGGAAGAAAUCCUCUGGGCUAAUACCCCGGGGGGAUGACGGUACCGGAAGAAUAAGCACCGGCUAACUACGUG
RNAcentral lists this ribosomal RNA (484 nucleotides) under uncultured bacterium. Its description in RNAcentral is "partial 16S ribosomal RNA". It matches the Rfam family "Bacterial small subunit ribosomal RNA", at positions 28 to 507 of the family's 1533-position model. The record is from RNAcentral.